GUAGGUGGCAAGCGUUGUCCGUAAUUAUUGGGCGUAAAGCGCGCGCAGGCGGUUCUUUAAGUCUGAUGUGAAAGCCCACGGCUCAACCGUGGAGGGUCAUUGGAAACUGGAGAACUUGAGUACAGAAGAGGAAAGCGGAAUUCCACGUGUAGCGGUGGAAUGCGUAGAGAUGUGGAGGAACACCAGUGGCGAAGGCGGCUUUCUGGUCUGUAACUGACGCUGAGGCGCGAAAGCGUGGGGAGCAAACAGGAUUAGAUACCCUGGUAGUCCACGCCGUAAACGAUGAGUGCUAAGUGUUAGGGGGUUUCCGCCCCCCUUAGUGCUGCAGCUAACGCAUUAAGCACUCCGCCUGGGAGUACGGCCGCAAGGCUG
RNAcentral lists this ribosomal RNA (372 nucleotides) under uncultured organism. RNAcentral's name for it is "partial 16S ribosomal RNA". It matches the Rfam family "Bacterial small subunit ribosomal RNA", at positions 527 to 896 of the family's 1533-position model. The record is from RNAcentral.